GAUGAACGCUGGCGGCGUGGAUAAGGCAUGCAAGUCACGGGGGCCGCAAGGCAACCGGCAGACGAGGUAGUAAUAAAUAGGUACGUACCAAAGAGUUGGGCAUAGCUAUCCGAAAGGGUAGGUAAUUCCCAAUAGUCCCUUGACGCAAGUCUAUGGGUAAAGGAGCAAUCCGCUCUAUGAACGGCCUAUUCGGUAUCAGCUAGUUGGUGAGGUAAAAGCUCACCAAGGCUAUGACGCCUAGGGGACCUGAGAGGGUGACCCCCACCGAUGGGACUGAGACACGGCCCAUACACCUACGGGUGGCUGCAGUCGAGAAUUUUCCGCAAUGGACGAAAGUCUGACGGAGCGACGCCGCGUGGAGGAUGAAGUUCUUCGGAAUGUAAACUCCUUUUGCCAGGGAAAAAGUUAUUGAUUGUACCUGGAGAAUAAGAAGUUGCUAAACUCGUG
RNAcentral lists this ribosomal RNA (447 nucleotides) under uncultured organism. RNAcentral describes it as "bacterial SSU rRNA". It matches the Rfam family "Bacterial small subunit ribosomal RNA", at positions 28 to 507 of the family's 1533-position model. The record is from RNAcentral.